Myotis daubentonii (Daubenton's bat) is the source of this 1534-nucleotide RNA transcript. It is a transcript of the gene named heme oxygenase 2, with no coding region annotated. Lineage: Eukaryota; Metazoa; Chordata; Mammalia; Chiroptera; Vespertilionidae. The record is from RefSeq and is a predicted model, not a curated record.
GGCCCAAGGAGUAAGGGCAGCAAGAACCAUACUCGCAACAAUGUUAAUGGAACUGGAGACCUCCGAGGGGGUAGAAGAGUCAGAGAAACAGAGGUCCGCCCCGAAAAGGGAAACCCCCAGCAGGAUGGCUGACCUCUCUGAGCUCCUGAAGGAAGGGACCAAAGAAGCACAUGACCGGGCAGAAAACACCCAGUUUGUCAAGGACUUCUUGAAAGGCAACAUCAAGAAAGAGCUGUUUAAGCUGGCCACUACUGCACUUUACUUCACAUACUCAGCCCUCGAGGAAGAAAUGGACCGCAACCAGCACCAUCCAGCCUUCGCCCCCUUGUACUUCCCCAUGGAGCUGCACCGGAAGGAGGCACUGAUUAAGGACAUGGAGUAUUUCUUUGGUGAGGACUGGGAGAAGCAGGUGCAGUGCUCUGAGGCCACCCAAAAGUAUGUGGAGCGGAUCCACUAUGUGGGGCAGAAUGAGCCGGAGCUGCUGGUGGCCCAUGCCUAUACCCGCUACAUGGGGGACCUCUCGGGGGGCCAGGUGCUUAAGAAGGUGGCCCAGAGGGCUCUGAAACUCCCCAGCACAGGGGAGGGGACCCAAUUUUACCUGUUUGAGAACGUGGACAACGCACAACAGUUCAAACAGUUCUACCGGGCCAGGAUGAAUGCCCUGGACCUGAACCUGAAAACCAAAGAGAAGAUUGUGGAGGAGGCCAACAGGGCCUUUGAGUACAACAUGCAGGUAUUCAAUGAACUGGACCAGGCUGGCUCCUUGCUGGCCAAAGAGAUCGUGGAAGAUGGGCUUCCCGUGCACAAUGGGAAAGGAGAUGUGCGUAAAUGCCCCUAUUACACUGCUAACCAAGACAAAGGUGCCCUGGAGGGUAGAAGUUGUCCCGUUGGAACAGCCAUAGCUGUGCUGAGCAAGCCCAGCCUCCAGUUCAUUCUGGCCGCCAGUGUGGCUCUGGCUGCUGGCCUCUUGGCCUGGUACUACAUGUGAAAGACCCAUCACCACAUUGGCGCCCUCCUCCUGAGUGACUGCUGGCCCGCUCCCACCUCUACCUGUGACAAAACCACCACCCCAGGUGGGUAUCUUUCCCCUGCUGGGAGCGGAGCAGCCAGCCAGGCCAAGGCGAGGUGCUGUAGCCCCGUGGGAGGGAAGGGACUCCCCGGAUGCUCCUGCUCUACUGGGGGGCUCACCUGGGCAUGUGGUGAGCAGACAGAAGCCAGGCUUGCCUGGGCAGCCAGUCCUUAUCUGUCUCUAGCAGAAACGCCCAAGUGGGGUGCGUCCAGCCAUGGCCUAUCUCCUCCUGACCUGUGUCAUGCUACAGCACUCAAUAAAGUGGACUCUUGACAGCUGCCUCCUUCCUGGCACAGAUGUCAUCCUCGCUGGUCUCUGACAUCCUCCUCCUGCUGUGUUCCAAGACUGCUAGUUACCUUAUAAAUAAGCAUAAAAAACCAUGUACUUGUAUUGAAUAAUUGAUUGUCUAAAAUAGAAAUGUGAACUUAAAUAUUUUUAUUAAUAGGCAUCUAUUGUUUUAUAUAA